AUACGGAGGGUGCAAGCGUUAAUCGGAAUUACUGGGCGUAAAGCGCGCGUCGGCGGCUUGAUAAGUCGGAUGUGAAAUCCCUGGGCUCAACCUAGGAACUGCAUCCGAUACUGUUAAGCUAGAGUUUUGGAGAGGUAAGUGGAAUUUCCGGUGUAGCGGUGAAAUGCAUAGAGAUCGGAAGGAACACCAGUGGCGAAGGCGACUUACUGGCCAAAAACUGACGCUGAGGUGCGAAAGCGUGGGGAGCAAACAGGAUUAGAAACCCUAGUAGUCC
Molecule: ribosomal RNA, 274 nt
Filed under: uncultured bacterium
Lineage: Bacteria
Description: partial 16S ribosomal RNA
Rfam family: Bacterial small subunit ribosomal RNA
Source: RNAcentral